ACAGAACAAAGAGAAUAUCCUGGGUCAGGGUUAGUGUUAACUUCUCCUGGUUUUCCAUUCAGUGGAUUUAAUCUUUGUGGACUGUGGAAGGAUCUAAAGGAGAACAGAGCAGAACCUCCAGGAUCCAGUUGUCAGUCUAUGAGGAGUGACUGGUCCAGGGAUUAAACCUACAGACUUCAAUAAAGAACCUGGACCUUCAGAAUCAGAGCUGACUGAAGUCCAGAAGAUGGAGGAUUGUGAUCUAAAGGAGGACAGAGCAGAACCUCCAGGAUCCAGCUGUCCAUCUAUGAGGAGUGACUGGUCCAGAGAAAAACCUCCAGACUUCAGUGAAGAACCUGGACCCUCAGAAGGUCAGAACCACAGACAGAGAGCAGAACCUCCAGGAUCCAGCUGUCCGUCUAUGAGGAGUGACCGGUCCAAAGGAAAACCUCCAUUCUUCAGUGCUGAACCUGGACCCUCAGACUCAGAAACAGGAGCUGGACUGCUGGCAGCCAAUCAGAGCAGCUGUGCUCCAGGUGAGACUGAACAUCUCCAAUCAGAACUUCCUUC
Molecule: long non-coding RNA, 549 nt
Organism: Fundulus heteroclitus (mummichog)
Lineage: Eukaryota; Metazoa; Chordata; Actinopteri; Cyprinodontiformes; Fundulidae
Exons: 4
Source: RefSeq, a predicted model, not a curated record